RNAcentral lists this long non-coding RNA (3965 nucleotides) under Homo sapiens (human). Its description in RNAcentral is "HSALNT0341573". The record is from RNAcentral. Lineage: Eukaryota; Metazoa; Chordata; Mammalia; Primates; Hominidae.
CUGAAGUGAUCUGCCCACCUCGGCUUCCCAAAGUGCUGGGACUGCAGGUGUGAGCCACUGCGCCUGGCCCCUUCAGGUGGGUUUUGAGGCUUCACGUUGCUGCUGCAAUAAAUUACCACACACUUAGUGGCUUAAAACAGCACAGAGGUAUUCCCUUACAUUUCUGAAGGCCAGAAUUCUAAAAUCAGUCCCACUGAGUCAAGGUGGGAGCAGGGUCAGUGCCUUCCCAGGCUCUGCGGGAGAAUCUGUUUCCUGGCCCUGGAGGCGGCCUGUACUCCUUAGCUUGUGCUGCCCUUCUGGAAUGACUCGAGUUUCCUGCUUUCAUCACUACACCUCCCACCGCUCUCCAUCACCUGCUGUGCUCUUACGAGGAUCCAGCUGAGACAUGUUUUAGGAAGUUUGCUAAAAGACCCCUGGAGACGUCCUCAUUGUGGCCUCCCUGCUGUUGUGUUUAAUUUGGUUGAUCUUCUCUGCCCUCCUGCUUUUCAGAAUUAAAAGGCUAAAAAGAGUUUUCAGAGAAAUGGAAUAAUUGUAUUGCUGAUCUACGUAAACAAGUUGAAGAAUUGUCUGAAAGAAAAUAUGGUGUGUCUGAACUGGAAAAGUCCUGUGAUAGUUUGUUCAUGAGCAUUUACACAAUGGAGUUACUGUUCAUCAUGGGGGUACUGUGGACAAGCCCAGGGCUGCUGACAUAAUCUUAUGAAUUCAACACAUGAAGAUUUACAACUUGAUAAACCAGCUUCAGGAGAUCAGAACUUCUUACAAUACAACUGAUGUUACUCAGCCUAGAACAAAUACAACAGGGAUUGUGCUGCAUUCUGACUUAGGUUCUGCCAUCGAACACAGAAUGCCCUGAUCCUUAGAGGCAGAGGCAGCUCUUCAGCCUAUGGGAAAACUGUGGAUUUAGUUACUCCACUCUGCCAUGUCCUUCCACCACUGCCUGCACAUUUGAGACCAAGGAUAGAGAUUGGGAAAAAUCCAUAGUUCUCCUGACUCAGAGUUUGGCUCCGGCACUCUCAUUUCAGCCAUAGCUGCAGACAAAGCACACGACUGCUGGGCACUGUGGCUCAAGAGAAGGGGGAGAUGGAAGAAGAUGAGCCUUAAGUCUGAACACUGAGGAAUUCAUGUGCAUCAGUCAGACCUCCUGUGCAAGGAAGGAUGUGGUUACUACGGCAACCCUGCCUGGCAGGGUUUCUGCUCCAAGUGCUGGAGGGAAGAGUACCACAAAGCCAGGCAGAAGGAGAUUCAGGAGGACUGGGAGCUGGCGGAGCGACUCCAGUGGGAGGAAGAGGCCUUUGCCAGCAGUCAGAGCAGCCAAGGGGCCCAAUCCCUCACAUUCUCCAAGUUUGAAGGAAAGAAAACCAACGAGAAGACCCACGAGGUUACCACAGUGAAGAAAUCUUCAGUGCGUCUUCCAGGGUCGGAUCAAAGAAGGCAGAAAUUCAGGAAGCAAAAGCCAGUCCUUCCAUAAACCGGCGAACCAGCAUUGAAACGGAUAGAGUGUCUAAGGAGUUCAUAGAAUUUCUCAAGACCUUCCACAAGACAGGCCAAGAAAUCUAUAAACAGACCAAGCUGUUUUUGGAAGGGAUGCAUUACAAAAGGUGCCUCCAGAAAGGGUUGAGAAGAUAAUGGAUCAGAUUGAAAAGUACAUCAUGACUCAUCUCUGUAAAUAUGCGUUCUGUCCAGAACCCCAGUGAGCCUGGAAGACUGGGUGCUAUGGGAAAUGUCAUCAAUCCAAUGCUAGUGAAAGAUGUGACUGGGGAAUGCUGAAAAAUGCGCACCCCUGGGAGGAAUGAGGAAAGAUGACAUCCACUGACUUGUUAUUUUUUUGAGAAGGAGUCUUGCUCUGUUGCCCAGGCUGGAGUGUGGUGGCACGAUCUCGGCUCACUGAUGAUGAGAAGAAAGAUCUUGCCAUUCAAAAGAGGAUCAGAGUGGAAGCUUCUCUGUGGUGUCAGAAAGACGAGGAAUGUGGUGACCUCACCUAUCCAUCUCCCUCAAGGCAGCUUUUGUUUUUCUGCAGUGACCGUACUUGCAAUAAUUAAACAUAGUUGGUCAUUUAAAAUACAUCUCUGAUACUCUCGUCAAAGGUGGAGCCCAGUCCCUAUCGCCUUGAGUGAGGGCUGGGUUACGUGAUUCCCUUCUGACAGAUAGGAAAAAGCAAAAGUGAUGGCUUGCAACUUUGCAAACUACAUCAUAAAAGGUACUGUGGCUUCCUCCUUGCUCACUCUUUGAUUACUCACUUGGGAAAGCCAGCUGUCACACCAUGACACCUAAGCAGCCUGUAGAGAGGCUCAUGUAACAGGAACUGAGGCCUCCUGUCAGCAGUCACAUGAGGGAGCCAUCUUGGAAACAGGCUUUAGGUGACUGCAGUCUCAGUGGACAGCUUGAGUGCAAUGUCAUGAGACACCCUGAGCCCAAAUGACCCAGCUAUGCCACUCCUGAAUUCCUGACCCACAGAAAUGGAGAUCCUAACUUAAGUUCUUGGACUCACUGAGGCAGUAAAAGAACCAUAUCCUGUGUUUGAAUCAAAUCCCAAGUUCCUGUACGUAGAAGGUUUGCCAGACAGGAUUCCCUUUCGAAGCCCUCCUGGUUUGGAAUUCCAUGACUUGAAAGGAUCGUCCAUGGGAGUAAUAAAAUCAAAUUUGUUGGUAAAAAACCUGAACUGGUUAUUUCCUACUUGCCUCCUGGAGUUGCUAAUAAAAUAAACACUAAAGCUUCGCAGUUUCUAAAAAGACCAUGAAGCCCUGAGAGUAAUGAAAAGGUUCCUGAAAUUGAGGUCACUGUGGAAGGAGAAUCUAAUGCCUGAUGAUCUGUCACUAUCUCCCAUCACCCCCAGAUGGGACCAUCUAGUUGCAGGAAAAGAAGGUCAAGACUCCCAGUCAUUCUACAUUAUGCCUCAGCCAAGAUGUCUCACCCCACUCUCUCUGAUGCAACAAGAAGCCCCUGGAGAACGUUUCAGUCCCAUUUUGUACUUCUGUCAUGUGCUCAUCACAGUCUGGUGGAAUUUAAAUGACCUCUUAUCAAGAUGGAUAAACCCAAGUUUCCCAGUGCUGGAAUAUAGAAAAUGGAUGGACAAGUAAGUCCCACUCAGCACCCAUAGCCCAGACAUGGGGACCUCAACACACCUGGGCCCCAGACAUCACCUUUCAUUCCGAGGCAUAUGCCAUUCAAGCUAAGGGUGCUACACUUGACCACUGCGGCAGUAUAGAUGAGUCUGAAGAAUGGUAUGGGAUGGAUACUUACGAAUGCACUCGAGCAGGGGUCUCCAUCCACAGGGCCACAGAGCCAGAGGUGAGCAGCAGCUGGAUCUACCAUGAAAGACUUCAGAGUCCAGGAAGAGAGACUGAUUGGGCAACAUGUUAUUCAGUUACAAAAAGACUUGGACUAUGACUCAAAAAUGAUCAAAUAAUAGUGCAUGCAUCCAAUGCAAUAAGAAGCACUUCUGGAGGGUGAGAGAAGCAUCCAGUUAAGGUGACAUUGAAGCUGGGUCCUGAAAGAUGAGGAAGAAUUGUAUGAGAGUGGGCAGAGAAGGGGGAGGUGGAGGGAUGGGGAAUGGGCUGAGAUGGAGUGAGCUGCUCAAGCAGGGAAACCAGCACUGUAAAGACCUGGUCAAUAAAGAUGGCACAUUUUAUUCAGGGAAUGGUGAAUUAAUUGUGGCAGGAAUGCUUUGGAGAGAGAGUAAUUUGCUUGUAUGGAAUUUUGCCCAAGAGACCUCAUUACAGUUUCUAAUCUUUUGAUGUUAUCGUCUAUCACUGUCCUUGUCAGAUAGUUUGGAAUAGGUAUAAUGAUCACAAUAACAUCAAGCAUAAUAUUUCAUUAAUUCUCACAAAAUCACAGGUAGGUGCCACAGUUAUCCCCAUUUUGUGAAUGAAGUGAUGAAGACUUAGGAAUGAUGAGUGAUUGCCCAAGCUCACCUGGAUAUUAAGAGGUCUUGCUCUGUUGUCCAGGCUGGAAUGUGGUAGUGCUAU